This is a non-coding RNA of Chelonoidis abingdonii (Abingdon island giant tortoise), 496 nucleotides long. The record is from RefSeq and is a predicted model, not a curated record. NCBI's taxonomy places the organism in Eukaryota, Metazoa, Chordata, Testudines, Testudinidae.
GCUGGGGGCUGUGUGCAGGUGUGGAGGGGGGGUAGCUCAGGGUGCAGGCAGGGGGUUGCUGGAGGCUCUGUACCCAGAGGGCUCCUCUGUGGUCCCUGUUCUCAGCGGGCUCUGCCAGCCAUGCAGCUGCUCCUGUGCCCCUCAAUUCUGCCCAUGGGCUCAGGGCUUCUGCUCCAUGGGGAGCUCCUGGCUUCAGCCCCACACAGGGCCUGGGGAUGCAGCUUCAACUCGUGGGGGAUGCUGCAUUUCACCUGGAUGCCCCUUGCGAACUGCUGACCUAGCCCCUCUGACAGGUGUUCAUCCAACCUGUUCUUAAAAACCUCCAUGACAGGGAUUCCACAACCUCCCUUGGAUGCCAGUUCCAGAUUUUAACCACUCUCCAACUUAGAAAGUUUCUCUCCUAACAUCCAACCUAAACCUCCCUUGCUGCAGCUGAUGCUGACUAUGGCUGGUCCUACCUCCAGCUCAGAUUCGUCAGAUGUUACCACUGGCUGAA